UGGGAUUUGCAAGAGACAAGAGGAGAGACGAAGCAGGUAUAGAGUGACUUUUGUGUUACAAGGAUGUUGUUGAAUAGACAUUCUGAAGAAUAUCUGGGUCC
This is a long non-coding RNA of Alosa sapidissima (American shad), 101 nucleotides long. RefSeq lists it as uncharacterized. The transcript is spliced from 3 exons. The record is from RefSeq and is a predicted model, not a curated record. Lineage: Eukaryota; Metazoa; Chordata; Actinopteri; Clupeiformes; Clupeidae.